This is a long non-coding RNA of Balaenoptera acutorostrata (minke whale), 434 nucleotides long. RefSeq lists it as uncharacterized. The record is from RefSeq and is a predicted model, not a curated record. The transcript is spliced from 3 exons. Lineage: Eukaryota; Metazoa; Chordata; Mammalia; Artiodactyla; Balaenopteridae.
UCCAGUGCCAUAUGUUGUGUGAGGUGUCACAGGAAAGAGUCCGUUAAUUGUCUGAAGAGAAAAGGUCUCCUGAGGAGAGAAGAGGUAACUUUCUGGAGGAAAGAAGGGAGAGAUAAACAAGGUCUCUGAAACAGAGAACACGGAAAAGAUGAACUAUGUGACUCUGCCCAAGGACACAAGUGCUACAGUUCAACUAGUCCGUGACCGAUGGAUGUGUAGGUUGAUUUCGCAUCUUUGGGCAAAUUAAUGGAUCCUCCAGCCACAGUCAAGCCUUCAGGUGAUUGCAGCCAAAACCAAGAUCUGAGGACAAUCUCAUGAGAAACCCCGAGCCGAAACUGCUCAGCCACACUACUCCGGAAUUCAUGACACACAGAACGAUGGAUAAUAAUUGCUUGCUGCUGUUUUAAGCUGCUGAGUUUGGGGAUAAUUUAUUA